GAAGCUUUCUGGUAGUUUACUACUAGAAAUGACUGAGCGGCGAACGGGUGAGUAACGCGUGAGCAAUCUACCUUAGUUACUGGGAUAGCUCGAGGAAACUCGGAUUAAUACCAGAUAUUCUUAUUUUUUCACAUGAAGUUUUAAGGAAAGGUCAGCCGAACUAAGAUGAGCUCGCGUUCUAUCAGCUAGUUGGUGGGGUAAAAGCCUACCAAGGCAACGACGGAUAGCUGGUCUGAGAGGACGAUCAGCCACACUGGGACUGAGACACGGCCCAGACUCCUACGGGAGGCUGCAGCAGGGAAUAUUGUGCAAUGAGCGAAAGCUUGACACAGCGACACCGCGUGUGGGAUGACGGUUCUAGGAUUGUAAACCACUUUCAGGAGGGAAGAAAAUGACGGUACCUCCACAAGAAGACCCGGCCAACUAUGUGCCAGCAGCCGCGGUAAUACAUAGGGGUCAAGCGUUGUCCGGAUUUAUUGGGCGUAAAGAGCUCGUAGGCGGUUCAACAAGUCGGUCGUAAAAGUUUAGGGCUCAACCCUAAAAUGUCGAUCGAUACUGUUGUGACUAGGAUACGGUAGAGGUGAAUGGAAUUCCGAGUGUAGCGGUGAAAUGCGUAGAUAUUCGGAGGAACACCAAUUGCGAAGGCAGUUCACUGGACCGUGAUCGACGCUGAGGAGCGAAAGCUAGGGGAGCAAACAGGAUUAGAUACCCUGGUAGUCCUAGCUGUAAACGAUGGAUACUAGAUGUAGGAACUGGAUUGACGGUUUCUGUAUCGUAGCUAACGC
RNAcentral lists this ribosomal RNA (785 nucleotides) under uncultured Actinomycetes bacterium. Its description in RNAcentral is "bacterial SSU rRNA". It matches the Rfam family "Bacterial small subunit ribosomal RNA", at positions 64 to 858 of the family's 1533-position model. Lineage: Bacteria; Bacillati; Actinomycetota; Actinomycetes. The record is from RNAcentral.